UGCGUAAUUAAGCUGCCUCGUCCGAGACGGUUUGAAUUCAUAUUUCAUUGCAGGUUAAGUUGUAUCGAAUAUCUCAGUUUUUUUAGUCCAAUACAUUUUAAAUAUUAUAUUUAAUAUUAUUUGUUGUGUACACUGUUGCAGCCGAGCACAAGCUAACGUUAGCUAGCUAUCUUGCUAGCUAACGUUAGCUAACGUUAUUUAACUUGCUAGCUAAAACUGCUAACAGCAUGGACGAACUUGAUGACGUCACGGUGUCGACUUUAAGAGGUAACGUAGUCAAAUAUACAUUUUUAACGUGGUUAUUAAUUUUUCGUCAUAUUUAUUAUGCACCAGUAACACCAAGAAAAAUCCCUUUUAAGUAAAAACCUACUUUGCAAUACUUAUGAUUCAUCAGAGAGGUUAAGAUCAGCUACAUUUAAACAGAUUAAGACUCGCAGUCCUCUCUAUAAAAUCGGUAGUAACUCUUAAUUCUGAACAGAUUUGAAUGGAAUGGUUUUAUUAUAAAUUGGAUAAAUUUAACUUUAUACUGGUUACGUGUUUCAAUUAAAUCCAGUUACUGGGGUGGAUCUACUCUGUUCUAUUAUACUAAAACAUUCGGAAUAACCACAACUUAAAAUAUAAAUUAUUUAGAAUGUAUGCUUUUAUGAGUUUCUAAAAAAUGUAGAUUGCUAUAUACAUUCAGUAAAUUUGAAUUAAAAUUGCUUCAGAAUUAAGAGAGUUACGACUGAUUAAAAUGUUUAAUUUACCACUCUGAUGUGAUGCAUAAUCCACUGAGGUAUGUCAUUUCUUUAUCUAUUGUUAUAUCAUGUGUAUUUACAUUUUUUGAUGAUGAAGUUCAUUCAUUUUCUGCUUGUUUAGUAAGUAUUUAUUUAACACCAUAAGGCAAUCACUAAACCUACCUUCAUUAUCACUAAAAGGAGAAUAUUAACACAAACUAUUUAGGAUUAUUGUUAUAACCUUAGUGGAGUUGUCAAUGCUGCAUCACAAUUUGUGUUAAGACAGUAUAAAUUAAAAGUUGCUUUUACAAAUACUUAAUUAUCUUUUAUUUUACAGGAAACUGUAGACUCAAAAUCAACGAGCAGUUCUACUUCUAUGAUUGGGUCACCCCUAUCUCAGACAUCCACUCAAGUAAAAAGAUGUCCCGCAAAGCACACAACACCUGAAAAUGUUGUGAAGUUAUCCUUCCCCGAAUAUGUAUUGCACACUGACACCAAACUAGAGCAAUGCCGAAAACAAUAUUUUGAGUUGGCGAAGGCCGGCGAAGAGAGAAACUGCCAAAUGUCAAAGGACCUCAGAUGUCGGCUCAUCCGAAACACCAUGACCAGUAUGAUCGCAAUCCUGAGGGCAACGGGGGACAGAGACAGAUACCCGUCAAAGCCAGAAAUAACAGCUAUGGCAAAGCGAACAGUGCUGUACUACCCCAUGCUGCAGGACCGAGACCUGAGCAGCAAGUAUGCAUGGGUAGGUCAAAUGCAUCCAGGUGCAUGUUUGAUGUUUGAAGCAUUUAUUUGAAUUUUUCUUGUCACAGGUUACUGUGUACUCACAGCUAUACAAAAGAUUGAAAAAUUUGAGAUCACCCCAAAAGACCAAUCCAAAGAGGCGCCGACUCGAGGAGCUAAAGUGCCAACCUGACUGACCCAGAUGAAUUUGAUUCAAGUGACUCAACAGUCAUUCUGGAUCUCCCCUCAAAAGGGGGUAGCAUUCAAGCAUUCAAGACUUCCCUUCUGAAGGGAGUAGCACCCCAGACUCGGGCAACAAUGCCAGAUAUGCCCGCAUCUUUGCGUAAGAAGAAAACUCCAAACCGUGAGUCCGUCUCUCAGCUCCUGGAUUUGGAAUUUUCAGCCAGAAGAGCAUUCAUUGAUUCUUUUUGCGAGGAGGACAGACACAAGAAAAUUCCAGAGGACAUUGGACAUGUGAUGGAGGAGCUUCAACGCAUUCUGGACAAAAAUAACAUCCAUUACAUUGAUGAGCUGAAGGGAAGAUGGGACGACUUCUGCCAGAAGGUGCAGUUUUUUGGUGUGUGGAAAAAGCUGCUGAAACCCUCAGUAGGAAUGGACAAAGGCUCUCAGUAUCCUACGUGUGCUGCCUUCAUUGUCCCCCUCUUCAUCUGCUCCUCUGAAGAAGUUAGGACAUGUGAGUGAGGCUCUUGUGCAUGUCCUCGAGGUAAGCAAAAUGAAUGCACUACUUGGUUAAUAGUUUUUAUUGACCUAGUGAAGACCUAAAAAGACUGGCCUAGCCCAACAAAUGUAAAUACAUUUAUAUAGAUUCAAAUACAGUGUGUUAAGCAACACAAUGUUUUGCAGUAGACCCACAGACACAUUCUGAUAUUCUUUAUAUCUGUGGUUCUAAAGCUUCUUAGACAGUGUGCCACCUCAGUAAAUAUUGGACUCCUCAAGUACCACUAAAAUCACUGAUGUAAAAGAAAACCAUAGCUCCUCCUCUGAAUUUUUCUUUAUCCUGAUGGAAAGAUGUCCAUUUUAUGUGUUUAAGGAAAAAGAAGACCCCAAUGACUAUUUGAAGAAACGUCGUCUCUCCUGCCCAGUCCUUAUUGUGAGUUUGUCCAACUGCCUCCUGGCUGUAGGAGAUGUGCUGAUAACUACGCUCCCAAAAGACAAGGUAACACAGGGUGUUUUAUACCUUACGGCCUACUAUUAUGCUCUACACCUUACUUACCCCAGGUGCGUAGCCACUCUGCUCUCUGUCAUAAAAACGGAGGUUCUCUUGGACACAAUCCAUGAGCGAGACCUCACACCAUCUUUCAAGAAGGGCAUGGCUGACUGGAAAGCCUUUGUUGGCAAGUAAAGCCGUUUCCAUUCUUAUUUAGCAAAUGUUUCCCAAUGUUAAGGUCGCAAUAAUAACAAUGUUGUUGAUCUAUUGAGGGACACAGUGGUCAAAUAUUUAUGUUAAUGUUAGCCCAAGACCCAUAACUUGUUGCAAUAAUAAGCACAUUGUAAGUGUAUUGAGGAGACAGAGGUCAGAUGAUUAUGUCUGACUGUAAUCCAUGUGUUACACAUAUAUGUCAUGUUUUGCUAUGUUUUUUUACUAUUAUUAGUAUUUUAUUACAGUGCCAUACACACUGCGCCAAAACAUGACUGGUGCUGCAGGCACAGUGUAACUGACUGACUGCACUGUAUUGUAAGAAUUGUUUGCUCCCUCCUGCAUUUCAGAGCUAAAGAGGCAUGCUCUUUCUUAUGCAAAUAAAAUAUUUGUUUGUUUAAUGCACAACUUGUUUUCAUUGAAGUAUGCGUUUGUCUUAAAUUUAGAACAGUAUCACUAUUGUAGAGCUAACAUUAAGUUAAAAGCACUUGAAUUUAGAUUAGUUAUGAUACAAAAGCACUUCUUAUGAGUAAAACAAUGCAUAAUAUGAGUAUUUCCAGCUAACUUCAAGACAUUUUUUAUCCUAAAAUGCUUAAAUAAUCACUUUUUAAUCUUAUUUCAAGUUGGUGGUGGUCUAAAAUCUAGGACAAUGUCACUAUUUUAGAACUUUAAAUGAGUUAAAUACACUUGAAAUAAGAGGGAUGCCAUGAACAGUGAAAAAAUAAAAAGCUACUUUUGAGCAUUUCAAGCUUAUUAUGAUACACAACACUUUCUAAUACUAGUAAAAUAUAGCUCAAAAUAAGUUUACCUGGCUAAUUUCAAGAUCAAUUCCUAUCUCAAAAGUCCUAAAUAUUACAUCUUAUUUCAAGAAAUCUUGACAAGCCGAUUUUCACUAGUUCCAUUGGCAGAUUUUUUUGCUUAUUUCAAGCAAAAACGUCUCGUAUUUGUUGUUUUUUUACUUAUUUUUGGAGGGGCAUUUUUUCCAGUG
Gasterosteus aculeatus aculeatus (three-spined stickleback) is the source of this 3805-nucleotide long non-coding RNA. Lineage: Eukaryota; Metazoa; Chordata; Actinopteri; Perciformes; Gasterosteidae. The record is from Ensembl.